This is an RNA transcript of Lathyrus oleraceus (garden pea), 4094 nucleotides long. It is a transcript of the gene named protein SLOW GREEN 1, chloroplastic, with no coding region annotated. NCBI's taxonomy places the organism in Eukaryota, Viridiplantae, Streptophyta, Magnoliopsida, Fabales, Fabaceae. The record is from RefSeq and is a predicted model, not a curated record. The transcript has 3 exons.
UUAGCCCAGAAUUAACGAUAAUCCGUGAAUAUAUACAAUAUCAAAACAGUGUUUUAGUAUGAAAAUAUCGCUUUCUUCAACCUUAGCCAUGACUACUCUCCCUAAAACACUCCACUAUCAUCACCUCUCCUUCACCCACCGCCCUUCUCCGUUUCCAACCCCUUCCUCUACCUUCUCCUUCCGCCCUCAACCUCCCCGCCACUUCUCCUCCUCCCCCUUACUAUUCUCAUCCAUCAAAGCCUCGUCAUCCUCAUCCUCCCCCUCACCGAAAAACAACAACCAUUCCCCAAAACCCCAAAACCCUUUUUCCCAAUUACUCGAAACCCUAAACCCCUUCUACUCACCUCUAUUCGAACCCGCUUAUGUCGCUGUAACAGUUCUCGCAUUCUUCUUAUUUCGCUUUCAACAAAAUCCCGCCGCCGCCACAUCACCACUCCCACCUCCUCCAGCGGAAACUUCCACUGCCACUACGGACGAGAAUUUAUUCGAAAAUAAUAUUAUAAUCGAUGACAUCCUGGUUGAAACUUCCAACGAUGCAAACGCACUUCGGUCACUAGUGGAGGAGAAAGUGAAAGCUAAAAAACUCGGCGAAGCGAUUCGUGUUGUGGACCGUAUAAUUGAACUCGAGCCGGAGGAAUUUGUUUUACAGUUACUGAAAGCACAUUUGCAUAGUUACAACGGGGAACACGAACUGGCUAAGAACGGGUUUGAACUUUUUUUGGAGAAAGAUCCGUUAAAUUCUGAAGCUUAUCGUGGUCUUUUGAUGGCGAAUUUGGAGUUGAAUGAGCCGUUGGAGGGUUUCUUGAAUAGGGUUGAUGAAGUUGUGAGGUUUUUCGAGGAGGAAAAGAUGGAGUCAGAAGCGAGGGAAUUUAAGCUUUUGAUUGCGCAGGUGAAGGUAAUGCAAGAGGAUUAUCCCGGUGCGUUGAAGGUGUAUGAGGAAAUUGUGAAGGAAGAACCGAGUGAUUUUAGACCUUAUUUGUGUCAAGGUGUUGUUUAUACUCUGCUUAGGAAGAAUGAUGAAGCUGAGAAACAGUUUGAGGUGUAUAGGAAACUUGUUCCACAGAAUCAUCCUUAUAAAGCGUAUUUUGAGGAUAACACUCAGAUUUUAUCGAAGAAGCUUGAGAAGAGAGGAAUAGAAGCAAAAAUUUGAGAAUCACAAUCAUUUGCGGUUUCUAUAGAGAGGUUGGUUAUACUUCCUUCUAUAUGAUGGAUCUUCUUCCUAUCCUUUGAGAAGUAUUCAAGUGUUAAUACAUUUCAUUGGCCACAACAGUGAUAUUGAUAUAGGAUAAUCAUAAUGGUCUAUACCAGAAAAAAUUCUUUGUAAAAAUGUAGUUUUUGAAAAUUGAGUUCAUUUUUUAUUGGUAUAUUUUGGUAAACUGGAGAGUUAUAUACAGGAAACUCCGUGGAAAGUGACUAGGAUUUACAUUGAAAUUUGAAUUUGCUUUGCAUUUAUACCUUUGGUGGUGUGUUGCUGGAGAAAUUUUAUUAGAAAUCCAUUUUUCACGGUAGCCAAUUAUGCUAAUUCAUAUUCAAUACAUUAUUUUUAAUUGUGGAUUGCAAAACAUAACAUUCACUCAAAUGCCGCUUUGUAGCAGUGUUAUAGAGCGCCGCUUUUUGACAAUAUUUUGUACUUAAUAGCAUCAAAUUCUUCUAUGGUAUAGCUCUUUAGCCGCGAGCUACUUAAAACAUGGUUUGGUAUUCUUAUAAUAUUGCAUUUUCUGUCUCAACUUUGAAUGAUGGACAUUAACUUGUCUAUCUUGUGGACUGUGUUACAUAUAUCUAAACUACACAAUGCUGCAUAUUGUCGAUUGUAUUGAUGUCAGAUAUGUUCAUGUCCUAUAAGCAUGAGCACAUUAGAUGAUUUGUUUUGAUUUUUGUCAUCUUGUUCCUUAAAUUUGCAUAGGGGGGUCCAUUGAAGUGCAAAAUUCCUGUUUUGAUCUUCUAUGGAACUCCAUAGAGUUUACUUUCUGGUCAACCAAAGUACAAACUAAGGAUUUGAUCUAAAACAAAAAUUCAAACAGAGGAGGCAAUCAGAAAGGUAAUGUACAAGUACUUGAAUGAUGUUGGCAUAUCUCAUGCUAUUUUGUUUUUCUGGCUAAGUGUUAAACUAUAUUAUGGUUGUUUUAAAAUUUCAUUGAAGGCUGCCACCUUCUUAUUCAAUUUAGGGUGUGUUUGGAAGAUCUUAUUUGGGCUUUCUUAUGACAUACUCACCACUUCUCCACUUCCCCCUUAUUAUUUUCAUCCAUCAAAGCCUCAUCAUCCUCAUCCUCCCCCUCACCAAAAAAUAACGAUCAUUUCCAAAAACCCCAAAACCCUUUUUCCCAAUUACUCAACCCUAAACCCUUUUUUCUCACCUCUCUUAGAACCCGCUUAUGUCGCAGUAGCAGUUAUCACAUCCUUCUUGUUUUGCAUUCAACAAAAUCCCGCCACUGCCACAUCACCACUUCCACCUCCUUCAGCCGAAUCUUCCACUGCCGCCACCACCGCCAUUUCAGCACUUUCAUCUCCGGCGGAAACAUCCACUGCCAUCACCACCGCCACAACGGAAGAGACUUUAUCCACUAAAGAAAAUGAUAUUCCAAUCGAUGAAAUCCUGAUCGAAACUUCCAACAACGCAGACACACGUAGGUCACUCACGGAGGAAGAAGUGAGAGCGCGAAAACUCAGAGAAGCAAUUCCCGCCGUGGACCAUUUAAUUGAACUCGAACCGGAGGAAUUUGAUUUACAGUUACUGAAAGCACAUUUGCAUAGUUACAACGGGGAACACGAAUUGGCUAAGAAUGGGUUUGAACUUUUUUUUGGAGAAAGAUCCGUUAAAUUCUGAAGCUUAUUGCGGUCUUUUCAUAGCGAAUUUUGAAUAGGGUUGAUGAAGAAGUGAGGUUUUUUGAGGAGGAAAGAUGGAGUCAGAAGCGAGGGAAUUUAAGCUUUUGAUUGCGCAGGUGAAGGUAAUGCAAGAGGAUUAUUCUGCUGCGUUGAAGGUGUAUGAGAAAAUUGUGAAAGAAGAACCAAGUGAUUUUAGACCUUAUUUGUGUCAGGGUGUUGUGUAUACUCUGCUUAGAAAGAAUGAUGAAGCUGAGAAACAGUUUGAGGAGUAUAGAAACUUGUUCCAGAGAAUCAUCCUUAUAAAACGUAUUUUGAGGAUAACACUAAGAUUUUGUUGAACAAGCUUGAGAAGGGAGCGAUAAAAGCAGAGAUUUGAUAAUCUCAAUCAUGUUCUGUUUCUUUAGAGAGGUGAAUGGCAGUACUUUUUAGGUGAUUAACUUGCUUAUGGUGAUAGUUUUAACUUUACAAUAGCUCGAGUUUUUUGGUGGAUAUAUCAAGUUUUUCUCAUCUUGUGCCUUAAAUUUGCAUAGGAGUGUCCAUUGAAGGGCAGAAUUCCUGUUUUGAUCUAUGAAACUCCAUAGGAUUUAAUUUCUGAUCAGCCAAAGUACAUACUAAGGAUUCGAUGAAAAUGAAGUACAGACAAAGGAGGCAACCAGGAAGGUAGGGUACAAGUCCCUCACUGAUGAUGACAUAUUUCAUGUUAUUUGGCAAAAUGUUAAACUGUAUUAUAGUUGUCUUAUAAUUCGUUGGAGGUUGUCAUCUUUUUCAAUUCAGGGUAUGUUUGGAAGAUCUUAUUUGUUUCUCUCUUUUUACAUAAGUGCUUAUGUUAGUUUUUGUUGCAAGAGCUUAUGAUUUAUGAUAUCUAAAUAAGUUGGUUUUAGCUUAUUGUCAUAAGCUCUCUAAUAUAACUUAUAAUAACAACUUUGACGGUUGAAUCAAAUUAUUUAUAAGUGAUUACAUGAUAAGCUUUUAUUGAAUAAAAUGCUUAUUUGUUUUGGGGUUUUGUAUAUGCCCUGCUUCGAAAGAAUGGUGAAGCUUAGAAGCUGUUUUAGGAGUAUAGAAAACUUGUUCCAAUCCUUAGAAAGAGUAUUUUGAAGAUAAAGUUUUUGUCGAAGAAGCUAGAGAAAGGAGGAAUAGAAGCAAAUAUUUGAGAAUUGCAAUCAUGUGUAGCAAUAAUAACUUUAGUCUAUGUUGCUGGAGAUGUUUUAUUAGAAUUGUAUUUGCCAUGGCAUCUAAUUGUGCUAAUUCAUGUUUGGUACAUUGUUUUGGAA